This 130-nucleotide small RNA is filed under the name Salmonella enterica subsp. enterica. RNAcentral's name for it is "RtT sRNA". It matches the Rfam family "RtT RNA". Rfam says of the family: This family represents a bacterial cis-regulatory element known as RtT RNA. The exact function of RtT is unknown although it is thought that it may be involved in changing the cellular response in relation to amino acid starvation. The record is from RNAcentral. Lineage: Bacteria; Pseudomonadati; Pseudomonadota; Gammaproteobacteria; Enterobacterales; Enterobacteriaceae.
CUCUCUCUCUGUACGGGAAGGAUGAAGCUGCGGCCCAGGUUCGAUUCGAGCGUCAGCGAAAGCGUUGCCGCGAGCAGCGCGACCCGAAGGAGCGGCGCGCAGCGCUGAGUCAUCCUCCCCACCACCACCA